AAUGGAAAAACAUCGAAUCGAGACAAGUUCAAUUCAGCCAAAACAGGCAGGGAGGAAGACCAGUCAUCUCAAACCUCAAAGGACAGUGUUCAGAGUGGUAUGUUGAACUGGAUCUCCAACGGUUUCGUAAGCGCACUGCCCCAACCUGCAGGGAGUCCUCUUCUUACGAGAGCCAACCCUGAUGCUAAAGUACUGAUUUCAUGUCAGCUAAAGUAGUUUGAUAUUUAAUACCAUUUGGUAUUGCAUAUUAAUGUGCACUUAAACCAAAAUAACAUCAAUAUAUAAUUCUAUUUUUUAUUUUGCAGUCACUUCAGGAUGAAGGUUCUAUGGACAGGUAAGGCUAUGAAUAUUCAAUCACUGUGCAUGAAGUGUGUUUGACAGCAUGGAGGUGGUCAGUGAGCCCUCUCUGUCUGCCAGGGCUGGAGUCAUUGGCUGGAUCUCACAAGGAAUUGGAAAGGUGGUCCCGCAGCCCGAUGAGAAAUACAUACAGGACCAGACUCUAGAAUCUGAAGUCACAGAGGUUUAUGAGACAAAGGAACUUCCAGACCAGGAGCCUUUGGCACAUAUACCAGUAGUAGAGCUGGUGUCAGAAGACGAGUCGGAGGUGGAACCAGCUGCUCAGUUCCCUCCUAAUGUAAUGACCUGGAUAAAGAGCGGCUUCCAGAACGCUAUACCACAACAUGUGACCAGACCCCCAAAUUCCAGUUCUUCCACCCCGAGGUCAUCACAGUGCUCAAACAAAGUUUAUUCACCUCCUCCAGAGUCGAUAACCAGCGUGACGGAGAUCGAGUCAAAAACAUCCCCCAGUAUGGUAGGCUGGAUUGUUCAGGGUCUUGGUCUUUCAAUGCCACAAGCGGUGCUUAAAAACAAAGAAGGAUGUCUGGAGGACGGGAAGAUUGUGCAAAAUGGCAGUGCUCGGUCAGCUCCUGCAGACCUUGUUCUUCAGGAGAUUGACUCUGAAGAUGAGGCUCAAGAAGAAACAUGUGCAGCAACAAACUCACUGCCAAAUUCACAACCUCAGUCCCAACCACAAACACCUUGGUCACCGGAACAAUCUCUUCCACUGAGUGUCACCACACCUUCACAAGCACACAUAGAACUGGAGGACGCAGAGACCCAAACUGCACGAUGGACACCCUUGAUCGAGAACAUCAGGAGAGAGGCGGAGGACACCGCCAUAUUAAUUAUGGAGGAACGGUGGAUACAGGAGCGUCUGGUGAUGGCUCGAAUGGCAGAAGAGGUGGCACGGCAGACAGCAGAGAUGGCUGUCAGGGAGUUGGCACAGGCCCGGUUUGGUAUUCAAACCAUUGCAGAAGAGCCAGAAGAUGUUGAUCAAGAGUAAUUCAUGCACACCAACAAAAAAAAUCAAUCAAACUAACCCCUCUUUGUGUGUAUGAUAAAUGUAUAUCCUUGUCAUACAGACAGAAAUAUGUUCAAACCCGUUUUUGCUUCUGAAUAUUUUGUGGAAAU
RNAcentral lists this long non-coding RNA (1470 nucleotides) under Carassius auratus (goldfish). RNAcentral's name for it is "lncRNA (ENSCARG00000004216.1)". The record is from RNAcentral. Lineage: Eukaryota; Metazoa; Chordata; Actinopteri; Cypriniformes; Cyprinidae.